CCUACGGGAGGCAGCAGUGGGGAAUUUUCCGCAAUGGGCGAAAGCCUGACGGAGCAACGCCGCGUGAGGGAUGAAGGCCUCUGGGCUGUAAACCUCUUUUAUCAAGGAAGAAGAUCUGACGGUACUUGAUGAAUAAGCCACGGCUAAUUCCGUGCCAGCAGCCGCGGUAAUACGGGAGUGGCAAGCGUUAUCCGGAAUUAUUGGGCGUAAAGCGUCCGCAGGCGGUCUUGUAAGUCUGUCGUUAAAGCGUGGAGCUUAACUCCAUUUCGGCGGUGGAAACUACAAGACUAGAGUGUGGUAGGGGCAGAGGGAAUUCCCGGUGUAGCGGUGAAAUGCGUAGAUAUCGGGAAGAACACCAGUGGCGAAGGCGCUCUGCUGGGCCAUAACUGACGCUCAUGGACGAAAGCUAGGGGAGCGAAAGGGAUUAGAUACCCCUGUAGUCCUAGCCGUAAACGAUGAACACUAGGUGUCGGGGGAAUCGACCCCCUCGGUGUCGUAGCUAACGCGUUAAGUGUUCCGCCUGGGGAGGUACGCACGCAGUAGUGAAACGUUAAAAGGUAAAGUUAGUACGGCGUGAGGACGUGUCCGAACGGACGACGACGAGGGGAGGUAGG
Molecule: ribosomal RNA, 614 nt
Filed under: uncultured bacterium
Lineage: Bacteria
Description: bacterial SSU rRNA
Rfam family: Bacterial small subunit ribosomal RNA (bases 1-521)
Source: RNAcentral